This 323-nucleotide ribosomal RNA is filed under the name uncultured Cercomonas. RNAcentral's name for it is "SSU rRNA". The stretch from base 105 to 323 matches the Rfam family "Eukaryotic small subunit ribosomal RNA", at positions 735 to 955 of the family's 1831-position model. The record is from RNAcentral. Lineage: Eukaryota; Cercozoa; Cercomonadida; Cercomonadidae.
GAUUUCUGGUCUUGCGAGUUUGGCCCCCGGCUACGGUUGGUGUGUGCCGUUUCUCGCUUACCAUCCUUCUGGGGAGGGUCUCACAUCACUUUAAUGUGUUUGGGUCACGUAACCAGAUCUUUUACUUUGAAAAAAUUAGAGUGUUUAAAGCAGGCUUGCGCUAUGAAUACAUUAGCAUGGAAUAAUAAUUUAGGACUUUGGUCUUAUUUUGUUGGUUUCUAGGACUAAAGUAAUGAUUGAUAGGGACAGUUGGGGGUGCUAGUAUUCAGCGGCCAGAGGUGAAAUUCUUGGAUUCGCUGAAGACUAACUUAUGCGAAAGCAUU